GUGAGUAACGUGUGGGUAACCUGCCUCAUACAGGGGGAUAACAGUUAGAAAUGGCUGCUAAUACCGCAUAAGACCACAGCACCGCAUGGUGCAGGGGUAAAAACUCCGGUGGUAUGAGAUGGACCCGCGUCUGAUUAGCUAGUUGGUGGGGUAACGGCCUACCAAGUCGGCGAUCAGUAGCCGACCUGAGAGGGUGACCGGCCACAUUGGGACUGAGACACGGCCCAAACUCCUACGGGAGGCAGCAGUGGGGAAUAUUGCACAAUGGGGGAAACCCUGAUGCAGCGACGCCGCGUGAGCGAAGAAGUAUUUCGGUAUGUAAAGCUCUAUCAGCAGGGAAGAAAAUGACGGUACCUGACUAAGAAGCCCCGGCUAACUACGUGCCAGCAGCCGCGGUAAUACGUAGGGGGCAAGCGUUAUCCGGAUUUACUGGGUGUAAAGGGAGCGUAGACGGCGAGGCAAGUCUGAUGUGAAAACCCGGGGCUCAACC
RNAcentral lists this ribosomal RNA (490 nucleotides) under uncultured Lachnospiraceae bacterium. Its description in RNAcentral is "bacterial SSU rRNA". It matches the Rfam family "Bacterial small subunit ribosomal RNA", at positions 106 to 614 of the family's 1533-position model. Lineage: Bacteria; Bacillati; Bacillota; Clostridia; Lachnospirales; Lachnospiraceae. The record is from RNAcentral.